Long non-coding RNA from Ipomoea nil (Japanese morning glory), 1008 nucleotides. RefSeq lists it as uncharacterized. NCBI's taxonomy places the organism in Eukaryota, Viridiplantae, Streptophyta, Magnoliopsida, Solanales, Convolvulaceae. The record is from RefSeq and is a predicted model, not a curated record. The transcript is spliced from 2 exons.
CACAAUCUGAAAAAUGGAAACAACCUUGUUCUAGUUUGCAUGAUUCAUGUCUUGUGAGUUCUCAUUUUCAUCUAAGCAAAAGAGUGCUUGGUGCCAAAGAUAUACUAGCUCUAUCUCCCUAAGAUAAAGAGUUAGGAGUUAUUAGACAAAAAACUCCAUAUUGCAAUGAAUGAGCUUAGGUCUCAAACCCAGUAAAAUAGCCCAAAAAUAAAUUGGAGGAUAUGUUCUGUCUCAACUAAAAGUACAUUUACCUUUUAUAUUAUACGCUCAAUGCUCAAGAAAGCCAACUGUGGAAGCUCACAACUGGCUAUGUGGGAUGAUCCCAUGGAAGUUGAGCUUGAGAAGCUUCUAAUUCCUCACAUAAAGGAUGUUUCCCAGAACAGAAUCAAGAAGAUUAUUGAAUCCCCAGUACACAUUUCCAGGCGCCACAUAAUCACAGUGAAACCAAAACAGAAACGACAUAUGUUAUUUGAUUUCAAGCGCAAAACUCAGGUGCUGCUUUCACCUGAAAUGGAAGACUAGAUGAGCUCUGCUGGAAAUCUCACUAGCUAACGGGGUUUAUUGGUCAGAAAAUGGAUUUCCGACCAACAUACCAACCAAAAUGAUGACCCGGAAAAUGGUCAUCAUAUGGGUAUUUCCGUCCAACAUCAGAUGUAAACUCCACGGCUCAAGCAUUACGGAAACUAGAAACUAAGGCAACUAUAUGAAUUGAAAGUUAAACUAGUUACUAUAUAUCAACGUCAAUGUUAAUCCACAUCGUAGAAACUCUGUCAUUCAUAAAUAUAUUGCUAGAAAAGAAAAAAUAAUGUUCAUGAACAACAUGGUUAAAAAUUACUCCAAUUAUAAUAUGGAGUAAAUGUUUGUAGUUGUUGGAUAUUAGUUGUUGGCUCGGUCUAAAUUUAUUAUCGUUUUUGGAAGUGUACUUUAAAUUGUACUCCGUAGUAAAUAAGUCUUAUUUAAUGUAGUUCAAAUCCUUUGAUGACAUUAUAUACAUGACAAUUUUUUUUU